ACCCCGGCGUCCAAGAUCCCCCUCAAACCACUGCACCCCGUUACUCCCCUCCAGUGAUUUCCCUACACCCCCCCUGAAUUUCCCCAACGCCACCCCCAGUUUUGUGAACUAGUUACAUGCCAAUUUAGUGACUGUUUGGAAAUUUGAAUUGAAAUGGAAACAUUAGUAGACCCUUUAAAAGCAAACACAGUGUACGAUAAACGACGCGUAGCUGGCAAAGUAUCGUAGAUGGGAGAAGUGGGAACACAGACUAGCUUCCUUGUCCAGCUGUUCAUGGCCAUGUCGGGGCCGCCAUGUCGGCGAUGUUGGCGGACCUAAUCGUUUCAAAUGACGAUUUGUGAGCAGAGUCGAAAGGAGCUCUCCCUGACAGCCAGUGACGGGCUGGGGGGAAAGGCUCCAGGACCAGGCUGUAUUUACAUCCACACCUCACCUACCCAGGUAGCCAGCAAACAGAGCUGCCUUGCCCGAGCGAUAGAUUUGGGCUGGGGUUCGGUUACAAAUCACUUGAAUGGGGGCGGGGGCGGGGGGGAUGAAAUGUUGUUGUUCUUAUUGUCGGAGUAAAGGGCAGUAGAACGGGACUUAGGGCAUGGCGAGAGAGGGUGGGGACGGGUGUUUUGCUUGAUGGUCUUGUCUAGUCACAAGUACGAUUGGACCUGCCCCUCUCCACUGUUUAAAGACAGAGCUGAUCGGGCUCCAUAGAGAGUCUUUUGUUCUGUUCAGUGACCACUGCAGCUGAAAUCACUGAGAAUCAGGUCUAAGCGCUCUGGCCGGCGGUGGGACAGGGUUUCUUGGCAGAGACGGCCCAGUCUGCACUCGCAGCGAGGUCCCCCCCCCCCCCCGAGAGCUCGGCUGAAGUCACGGAGAGCCGGUGGGACCUCAAGAGACCGACUCGCAGAGGUCUCAGGGGCAGGUGGCAGCCGAAGGUGACGGCGCAGGGCCAUUGGCAACCAAGCGACGGAGUGAACGGUGGCACAACGAACAGCUGUGGCCAGAGCGAACCGUGAGCAGCUGGAGGAAUGAGCAAGGGGCCUUCUUGCCCCCACCUGGGAGGUGAACUCACGUGAAAGCACCUCUGAACUCUGAGUCUCCACUGACCAAGGACAACACCGGUCAAAGUGAAAAUGAAAAGACAAAAAACAAUACAACAAUUUUUCCACGCGAAGGCCUCAAAAACUAACCUAGGUGAAGAACACGUCAAGAACCAAGAACAUCUCAACAUGUCGUCUGAAGGGUCAAGUGGUGGAUCUACAUCCAACCAGCCCAAAUACAGCUGCCUACUGAAGAAACAGAGUCUCCAAAACCUAAAGGCAGUUUCCGAUGUUUGUCGGUCAAAGUGUUCCCAUUUAUUGAAGUUACAAAAGAUGGCUACUGGUGCACCUCUUGCAAAAAAACUUACGAAGAAGGAAAGCUUCCCAAUGCUAUCAUUGGUAAAAGUGGAGGAGCUUGGUUUGUCAGGCCGAUCAGCAAAGCCAAUGCUGACAAACUACGUGAAAAGGCAGC
This is a long non-coding RNA of Chelonia mydas (Green sea turtle), 1500 nucleotides long. RefSeq lists it as uncharacterized. NCBI's taxonomy places the organism in Eukaryota, Metazoa, Chordata, Testudines, Cheloniidae. The record is from RefSeq and is a predicted model, not a curated record. The transcript is spliced from 2 exons.